UACGGGGGGAGCAAGCGUUGUCCGGAUUUACUGGGCGUAAAGGGCGCGUAGGCGGUCGUGACAAGUCACUUGUGAAAUCUCCGGGCUUAACUCGGAACGGUCAAGUGAUACUGUCGGACUAGAGUGCAGAAGGGGCAACUGGAAUUCUCGGUGUAGCGGUGAAAUGCGUAGAUAUCGAGAGGAACACCUGCGGCGAAGGCGGGUUGCUGGGCUGACACUGACGCUGAGGCGCGAAAGCCAGGGGAGCGAACGGG
Molecule: ribosomal RNA, 254 nt
Filed under: uncultured bacterium
Lineage: Bacteria
Description: partial 16S ribosomal RNA
Rfam family: Bacterial small subunit ribosomal RNA
Source: RNAcentral